AUUGAACGCUGGCGGCAGGCCUAACACAUGCAAGUCGAACGGUAACAGGAAGGAGCUUGCUGCUUCGCUGACGAGUGGCGGACGGGUGAGUAAUGUCUGGGAAGCUGCCUGAUGGAGGGGGAUAACUACUGGAAACGGUAGCUAAUACCGCAUAAUGUCUCACGACCAAAGGGGGGGACCUUCUGGCCUCUUGCCAUCGGAUGUGCUCAGAUGGACUAAGCUUGUUGGUGGGGUAACGGCUCAACAAGGCGACGAACCCUAGCUGGUCUGAGAGGAUGACUCGCCACCUGGGAAGUGAGACACGGUCCAGACUCCUGCGGGAGGAAGCAGUGGGGAAUAUUGCAGAAAGGGCGAAAGGCGGAUGCAGCAAUGCCGCGUGUAUGAAGAAGGACUUCGGGUUGUAAAGUACUUUCAGCGGGGAGGAAGGGAGUAAAGUUAAUACCUGUGCUUAUUGACGGUACCCGCAGAAGAAGCACCGGCUAACUCCGUG
Molecule: ribosomal RNA, 490 nt
Filed under: uncultured bacterium
Lineage: Bacteria
Description: partial 16S ribosomal RNA
Rfam family: Bacterial small subunit ribosomal RNA
Source: RNAcentral